Molecule: long non-coding RNA, 263 nt
Organism: Strongylocentrotus purpuratus (purple sea urchin)
Lineage: Eukaryota; Metazoa; Echinodermata; Echinoidea; Camarodonta; Strongylocentrotidae
Exons: 3
Source: RefSeq, a predicted model, not a curated record
UAUUUGUAAACGGAUGCGUUCGGUUGGGCGUAGCAGUAUGACUAGGCUAGGAGUAGGAGCCUAGAUCUAGACGACUGUUCAUCUUGGCUUGGCUUGGCCUUCUGCUUUAUUGAGUCUGUGGCAGUAAGAUUCGAGUCAAUUUAAGGUGCAAGGUUAUCUGGUAGAUAUCAAAGAUGGCUGACGAUCCAGCUACGAAGCCUAAAGAGCAGGCCAAGUCGAUGGAGCAAAAAGGAGGAGAAAGGUCUGAUGUUUCGACAUCCAAG